UAAUCGAAACUGUUGACCAGCCAAGCUCACUUCACCCCAUCUUAGAACCAUCAUUACAGAUUUGUCCAAUUUGCCAGAUCUCUUUCCCAACUGAUGUCUUGCCUUUUCAUGCAAGCAUGUGUGGUGAAGGAGAAAGGACUUUUGGUGACAAUGAUUCUUCAUUCACUUUAAAUACAGAAGAAUUGCCAGGACCCUCAACUGCACAAUCUUCAACAUCCCUGUCUGCAGCAUGGAAAAAUGAAAUUGACCCAUUCAAAUCAUCUCGAAUGUUCUGUGAUGAGUUGCUCUCCAUCAAUUCACACUGUCCAUUUCUAUCAUUACUCAUCAACCAGUUUGAUACUAUGGAUGAACAAGAUAGUACCCUGGUUUCAUUUUAUAAAAUGAACAGUGCUAAUUGGUCCACUCCAUUGAAAUAUAGAUUGACUGGAGAUGCAGCUGUUGGCAAGGGAGUUAACCGCCAUAUUUUGUCAAUGAUGAUGCAAAAACUGAAGACUGGCUUCACUUUAAAUUUGGGUUUGUAAUUGGUUGCAGUUCGGUUACAUGUGCAC
This is a non-coding RNA of Danio rerio (zebrafish), 548 nucleotides long. The record is from RefSeq and is a predicted model, not a curated record. NCBI's taxonomy places the organism in Eukaryota, Metazoa, Chordata, Actinopteri, Cypriniformes, Danionidae.